RNAcentral lists this non-coding RNA (25 nucleotides) under Mus musculus (house mouse). Lineage: Eukaryota; Metazoa; Chordata; Mammalia; Rodentia; Muridae. The record is from RNAcentral.
UGACCAGAACUAACUGGAAGGUGGC